Molecule: RNA transcript, 1259 nt
Organism: Prosopis cineraria
Lineage: Eukaryota; Viridiplantae; Streptophyta; Magnoliopsida; Fabales; Fabaceae
Exons: 4
Source: RefSeq, a predicted model, not a curated record
GUUCCUUUGAAUCCGAAAAUUGGAGUUAUGAUCCAACACGGUGCAGCCCACCAGAGCCUAGUUAAACACUGUCGCUUAUCUUCACGAAACCUUCGUCACUUUCUACCUCCUGUGAGAGCGCAGUUUUCCAUCUUCGGCUCCGCAGCCACGAUUAUAUCGGAGAAGAAUCGCAAGGAGAUCUGCAAAUAUCUCUUCAAAGGUUUCUUUAAAUUUCUCCAUUAUGUGCAUUUUUCUAAAACCGUUAUGAGCCUUUUGUUUGCAGAGGGAAGUUUUUCAUUUGGAUAAAAAAUUGGGAAAUAAGUGCGUGCAUAGAUGUUUUUGAAUCUAUGAUGUAUCCGGCUAUUUGGACAUCAACGCAGUCUAGUUAAUUAUAAUGCUUCAGCGUCGGUGAUUCUUUGUUUAUUUUGCUCUAUUUUCUUUCUUUUCUUUUAUUUUCAAUUCCUUCUGAUCAGUAUUUCAAAGCCUUUAAAAGUAUCUCAGUGCGGUGUUCUUACUGAUCAAGUGUAAUUCUGAUUCAUUAUUGGUUAACAUUCUGAUUUGCUAUCUGUGUUAACUGUUCAGAUUUACACAAUGGUGUUUUCAAUUUUUCUAGAGGGAGUAUGUUAUGCGAAGAAGGUUUAUAAUCUUUCAAAACUCCCGGAGAUCGAUGUCCCAAAUCUGCAGGUCAUUAAGCUGAUGCAGAGCUUCAAAUCCAUGGAAUAUGUUCGUGAGACUUUUGCAUGGAUACAUUAAUAUUGAUUUGUCACAAACGAUGGAAUCGAAUAUUUAAGGACAUACCUUAAUCUGCCAUCAGAAAUUGUGCCUGCUACCUUGAAGAAAACACCUAAACCAGUCGCGGUCCUCCUCGGUUUGAAGGAGGUUCAAGGUUUGGUGACCGUGAUGGAUACCGUGGAGGCCCUGGAGGAUCUUCUGGUGAAUUUGGUGGUGACAAAGGAGGAGCUCCGGCAGAUUACCAGCCAUCAUUUAGGGUACCUGCUGCACGGCCCUCGCUUUGGAAGAAGUGGCGGAGGUUUUGGGGCGGCACCUGGUACCAGCUUUUUAUAGAGGACAUUAUUUUCGUGCUCACGUUUACCAUAGUGCUGUUUAUCUAUAAUUUUAAAAUUAGUAUUUAAUUGCGCACACCUAUAACUUGUUCUUCUAUUCAGCUUUUUGGAUUAGCAUUAAUUUCAGUAUAUACAUGUAUUAAUGAUUUUUAAUAAUCAUCUUCAUUUGUUUUUCGCCCUUUCGACGAAGAGAAAUAUCGAAAGCGGGCACGGUCA